CGGAUCGUAAAGCUCUGUUGUUAGGGAAGAACAAGUGCGAGAGUAACUGCUCGCACCUUGACGGUACCUAACCAGAAAGCCACGGCUAACUACGUGCCAGCAGCCGCGGUAAUACGUAGGUGGCAAGCGUUGUCCGGAAUUAUUGGGCGUAAAGGGCUCGCAGGCGGUUUCUUAAGUCUGAUGUGAAAGCCCCCGGCUCAACCGGGGAGGGUCAUUGGAAACUGGGAAACUUGAGUGCAGAAGAGGAGAGUGGAAUUCCACGUGUAGCGGUGAAAUGCGUAGAGAUGUGGAGGAACACCAGUGGCGAAGGCGACUCUCUGGUCUGUAACUGACGCUGAGGAGCG
RNAcentral lists this ribosomal RNA (344 nucleotides) under Bacillus pumilus. RNAcentral describes it as "bacterial SSU rRNA". It matches the Rfam family "Bacterial small subunit ribosomal RNA", at positions 419 to 755 of the family's 1533-position model. Lineage: Bacteria; Bacillati; Bacillota; Bacilli; Caryophanales; Bacillaceae. The record is from RNAcentral.